This 484-nucleotide ribosomal RNA is filed under the name uncultured bacterium. RNAcentral describes it as "partial 16S ribosomal RNA". It matches the Rfam family "Bacterial small subunit ribosomal RNA", at positions 30 to 507 of the family's 1533-position model. The record is from RNAcentral.
AUUGAACGCUGGCGGCAGGCCUAACACAUGCAAGUCGAGCGGAUGAAGGGAGCUUGCUCCUGGAUUCAGCGGCGGACGGGUGAGUAAUGCCUAGGAAUCUGCCUGGUAGUGGGGGAUAACGUCCGGAAACGGGCGCUAAUACCGCAUACGUCCUGAGGGAGAAAGUGGGGGAUCUUCGGACCUCACGCUAUCAGAUGAGCCUAGGUCGGAUUAGCUAGGUGGUGGGGUAAAGGCCUACCAAGGCGACGAUCCGUAACUGGUCUGAGAGGAUGAUCAGUCACACUGGAACUGAGACACGGUCCAGACUCCUAAGGGAGGCAGCAGUGGGGAAUAUUGGACAAAGGGCGAAAGCCUGAUCCAGCCAUGCCGCGUGUGUGAAGAAGGUCUUCGGAUUGUAAAGCACUUUAAGUUGGGAGGAAGGGCAGUAAGUUAAUACCUUGCUGUUUUGACGUUACCAACAGAAUAAGCACCGGCUAACUUCGUG